Molecule: ribosomal RNA, 253 nt
Filed under: uncultured bacterium
Lineage: Bacteria
Description: partial 16S ribosomal RNA
Rfam family: Bacterial small subunit ribosomal RNA
Source: RNAcentral
UACGGAGGGUGCGAGCGUUGUCCGGAAUCACUGGGCGUAAAGGGCGCGUAGGCGGCUCAUGAAGGCUGUGAUGAAAGUCCGGGGCUCAACCUCGGAUCGGCCGUGGCGACUCGUGGGCUGGAGCACUGUAGAGGCGGGUGGAAUUCCGGGUGUAGCGGUGGAAUGCGUAGAGAUCCGGAAGAACACCAGUGGCGAAGGCGGCCCGCUGGGCAGUGGCUGACGCUGAAGCGCGACAGCGUGGGGAGCAAACAGG